This 488-nucleotide ribosomal RNA is filed under the name uncultured bacterium. RNAcentral describes it as "partial 16S ribosomal RNA". It matches the Rfam family "Bacterial small subunit ribosomal RNA", at positions 28 to 507 of the family's 1533-position model. The record is from RNAcentral.
GACGAACGCUGGCGGCGUGCUUAACACAUGCAAGUCGAACGAAAAUACCAAGCUUGCUUGGUUGAUUAGUUGCGAACGGGUGAGUAACACGUGAGUAACCUGCCCCUUACUUUCCUGGAUAACUGCUCGAAAGGGUAGCUAAUACGGGAUAUUCUGACCAGCCUGCAUGGGUUGGUUUGGAAAGGUUGUUUUUCUGGUAAGGGAUGGGCUCGCGGCCUAUCAGCUUGUUGGUGGGGUGAUGGCCUACCAAGGCUUUGACGGGUAGCCGGCCUGAGAGGGUGGACGGUCACACUGGGACUGCGAUACGGCCCAGACUCCUACGGGGGGCAGCAGUGGGGAAUAUUGCACACUGGGCGCAAGCCUGAUGCAGCGACGCCGCGUGAGGGAUGCAGGCCUUCGGGUUGUAAACCUCUUUCGUCAGGGAACAAGGCACUGCUUUUUUGGUGGUGUUGAGGGUACCUGGAUAAGAAGCGCCGGCUAACUACGUG